ACUCCAACAAGGCCAUACCUCCCCAU
Molecule: unclassified non-coding RNA, 26 nt
Filed under: Mus musculus (house mouse)
Lineage: Eukaryota; Metazoa; Chordata; Mammalia; Rodentia; Muridae
Description: oocyte_clustered_small_RNA12731
Source: RNAcentral